This 468-nucleotide ribosomal RNA is filed under the name uncultured bacterium. RNAcentral's name for it is "partial 16S ribosomal RNA". It matches the Rfam family "Bacterial small subunit ribosomal RNA", at positions 28 to 507 of the family's 1533-position model. The record is from RNAcentral.
GACGAACGCUGGCGGCGUGCUUAACACAUGCAAGUCGAACGGAAAGGCCCUGCUUUUGUGGGGUGCUCGAGUGGCGAACGGGUGAGUAACACGUGAGUAACCUGCCCUUGACUUUGGGAUAACUUCAGGAUACUGGGGCUAAUACCGGAUAGGAGCUCCUGCUGCAUGGUGGGGGUUGGAAAGUUUCGGCGGUUGGGGAUGGACUCGCGGCUUAUCAGCUUGUUGGUGGGGUAGUGGCUUACCAAGGGUUUGACGGGUAGCCGGCCUGAGAGGGUGACCGGCCACAUUGGGACUGAGAUACGGCCCAGACUCCUACGGGAGGCAGCAGUGGGGAAUAUUGCACAAUGGGCGGAAGCCUGAUGCAGCAACGCCGCGUGCGGGAUGACGGCCUUCGGGUUGUAAACCGCUUUCGCCUGUGACGAAGCGUGAGUGACGGUAAUGGGUAAAGAAGCACCGGCUAACUACGUG